This 127-nucleotide small RNA is filed under the name Marmota monax (woodchuck). The record is from RNAcentral. Lineage: Eukaryota; Metazoa; Chordata; Mammalia; Rodentia; Sciuridae.
UCUGGGUGCAGUGGAGUUUGCCUGUAAUCCCAGCACCUAGGGAGGCUGAGGCAGGAGGAUUGUGAGUUCAAAACCAGCCUGAGCAACUUAGUGAGGCCCUAAACAACUUAGUGAGACCCUGUCUCUA